CAAUGCAUUGUGGGAGGACAAUGGCGGCGUUUAGCAGGGGUAAAGAGCUGUAAGACACAUUGAUGCAUCUGACAGCUUCCAAAGGCUUGGAAAGUAGGUUAAUGAUGCAGCUAUAGACAACCCCAUCUUAUGCAUGUUAUGAGAAGUUAAAAGUGUUUAACAACUACUCCAGGCUUUUUCUUUGCAAGAAGGGAUAUUGAUAGAGGGAAGGAGAUCAGAUAUGACUAUGGUGAUCCCAUGCCCAAUGGACAAUCUUCCUUGGAGUUCAUCACUCAUCAGGAAGCAUUUUGGAGGCAAACCCUGUUGCAGCAUUUCUACAUGUUCCACAGAUUGUACAGACUAGUCAGGACCUUGUAAAUUCUUAUGUUCAACAGCUUAGGCAAUUUAGUACAGAGUGGAUUAUUGAGGCAGACCCUGAUGGAAAACUUGCACAUGUUCCACAAACCAGUGAAGACCAUUUUGCAGAAUAUAAACUUUUUCCGCAGAUAAGCCAAGACCCUAAUGGUGUUCAUGUGUGUGUGGUUAAUUAUUUGCUCUGAAGCUGAUAUGUGGACUGAAUAUAAAACUGUCUUUUUCUACAGUUAAGUCCAUCUUAAUCUGAAAAUACUACCGGUACAUUUUGAAUUAUGCUUUAUUAUGCAGAAAAAAAAAUAAUUAGUUUCAAAUAUGAAAAGUCUGUUGAUACACUGCUUUGCAAUUCCAAAAGUGAUAAUGUGAUAAGUUUUGAUGUGAAUAUGUGACAUGUGCCAUUAUCAAUUUUCAUAAAUAAAAUCAAAUACAAAGGCCA
This is a long non-coding RNA of Saccostrea echinata, 787 nucleotides long. RefSeq lists it as uncharacterized. The record is from RefSeq and is a predicted model, not a curated record. The transcript has 4 exons. NCBI's taxonomy places the organism in Eukaryota, Metazoa, Mollusca, Bivalvia, Ostreida, Ostreidae.